UCUAGAGGCUUCGACAAUGCCCGAAAGGGUGAUCGAGCGACGCCGCGUGUGGGAUGAAGGUUUUCGGAUUGUAAACCACUUUUGUUUGGGAAGAAGGCCUAUAUCGUGAAUAUGGGAUUGACGGUACCAGACGAAUAAGCCCCGGCUAACUCCGUGCCAGCAGCCGCGGUAAGACGGAGGGGGCAAGCGUUGUUCGGAAUCAUUGGGCGUAAAGGGCUCGUAGGCGGACUAGUAAGUCUGGCGUGAAAUCUCCACCGCUCACCGGGGAGAGGUCGCUGGAUACUGCUAGUCUUGAGUUCGGUAGAGGGUCGUGGAAUUUCGGGUGUAGCGGUGGAAUGCGUAGAUAUCCGAAAGAACACCGGUGGCGAAGGCGGCGACCUGGGCCUGAACUGACGCUGAGGAGCGAAAGCUAGGGGAGCAAACG
This 424-nucleotide ribosomal RNA is filed under the name uncultured bacterium. RNAcentral describes it as "bacterial SSU rRNA". It matches the Rfam family "Bacterial small subunit ribosomal RNA", at positions 355 to 774 of the family's 1533-position model. The record is from RNAcentral.